UACACUCCUACGGGAGGCAGCAGUGGGGAAUAUUGCACAAUGGGCGCAAGCCUGAUGCAGCCAUGCCGCGUGUAUGAAGAAGGCCUUCGGGUUGUAAAGUACUUUCAGCGGGGAGGAAGGCGAUAAGGUUAAUAACCUUGUCGAUUGACGUUACCCGCAGAAGAAGCACCGGCUAACUCCGUGCCAGCAGCCGCGGUAAUACGAAGGGUGCAAGCGUUAAUCGGAAUUACUGGGCGUAAAGCGCACGCAGGCGGUCUGUCAAGUCGGAUGUGAAAUCCCCGGGCUCAACCUGGGAACUGCAUUCGAAACUGGCAGGCUAGAGUCUUGUAGAGGGGGGUAGAAUUCCAGGUGUAGCGGUGAAAUGCGUAGAGAUCUGGAGGAAUACCGGUGGCGAAGGCGGCCCCCUGGACAAAGACUGACGCUCAGGUGCGAAAGCGUGGGGAGCAAACAGGAUUAGAAACCCCAGUAGUCCCAUG
Molecule: ribosomal RNA, 476 nt
Filed under: uncultured organism
Description: partial 16S ribosomal RNA
Rfam family: Bacterial small subunit ribosomal RNA
Source: RNAcentral